This 72-nucleotide transfer RNA is filed under the name Loxodonta africana (African savanna elephant). It matches the Rfam family "tRNA". From Rfam's summary of the family: Transfer RNA (tRNA) molecules are approximately 80 nucleotides in length. Their secondary structure includes four short double-helical elements and three loops (D, anti-codon, and T loops). Lineage: Eukaryota; Metazoa; Chordata; Mammalia; Proboscidea; Elephantidae. The record is from Rfam by way of RNAcentral.
GGCUUUUAGUCUUAGUGGUUAAGAGUUCGGCUGCUAACCAAAAGGUUGGCAGUUUAAAUCCACCAGGUGCUC